Molecule: long non-coding RNA, 698 nt
Filed under: Equus caballus (horse)
Lineage: Eukaryota; Metazoa; Chordata; Mammalia; Perissodactyla; Equidae
Description: lncRNA (ENSECAG00000059786.1)
Source: RNAcentral
CACAGUGCAGCUUGUCGAAUGGUUGAUGGAUGGAUUUGUAAGAGUUUCCUUAAUAAAACUGAUGCCUUUGUUCCCCUCAUCCAUGGAGUAGCAUUUCCUCGUGCUUUACCAAAACCUUCCCGUACUGCCAGGCAGUGGUUUCAGGUGAAGCAGCUUGCAGAGUGGGUGGAAUGCAGAAUGCACGGAGGAGCGGGAGUUAAGCCUCUGCAGGCGGCACGUGUGUGCUGGUCCUUCCCUGUGCCGGCACCACUCCGGUAACUGGAUGUGUAUAAGCCAUUGCAUGCUCACGACAGCCAACAAGGAGCCUCACAAAUGAGGUACCCAAGGAGACAGCUGAGCGUUGCAGAGAUUCCACACGUGAGGAGAGAAUGAAACUCUCAGAUGCGAACCCUGACUAUGAGCUCAAGCACAGCACCGGGUCAUUGCCUCCGAACACACCCUGGGGCACUUUCUUCUCCUGAGCUUUCGGUGACAGGCAAACACGAGCAGAGCUUCCGAGACCGAGGCUCACGGGCCGGGUAUGGACCUUCAGUUCAGCUCCUUCCAUCCUCUCAAGAGCCCCGCCAACAGCGAUCACUGCUCUUUUCUGGACAGUGGUGGCAACUGAGUCCCCUCCCAAAAGCAGAAGUGAUUCAGCCCGGGUCUGGGAACUGCUCAACGGCCAUACGUAGCUCUCCUCCCCGGGAUGGGGACAGACA